This 600-nucleotide ribosomal RNA is filed under the name uncultured bacterium. RNAcentral's name for it is "bacterial SSU rRNA". It matches the Rfam family "Bacterial small subunit ribosomal RNA", at positions 736 to 1340 of the family's 1533-position model. The record is from RNAcentral.
UUUACUGACGCUAAAGCUCGAAGGUGCGGGUAUCGAACAGGAUUAGAUACCCUGGUAGUCCGCACGGUAAACGAUGGAUGCCCGCUGUUUGCGAUAUAGUGUGAGCGGCCAAGAGAAAUCGUUAAGCAUCCCACCUGGGGAGUACGCCGGCAACGGUGAAACUCAAAGGAAUUGACGGGGGCCCGCACAAGCGGAGGAACAUGUGGUUUAAUUCGAUGAUACGCGAGGAACCUUACCCGGGCUUGAACUGCAGCGGAAGGAUACAGAGAUGUUGACGUCCUUCGGGACCGCUGUGGAGGUGCUGCAUGGUUGUCGUCAGCUCGUGCCGUGAGGUGUCGGCUUAAGUGCCAUAACGAGCGCAACCCUUUUCGCCAGUUGCCAUCAGGUGAUGCUGGGCACUCCGGCGACACUGCCACCGCAAGGUGUGAGGAAGGUGGGGAUGACGUCAAAUCAGCACGGCCCUUACGUCCGGGGCUACACACGUGUUACAAUGGGGGGUACAGAGAGUCAGGUGCCGGCAACGUCGCCUCAAUCAAUAAAGCCCUCCUCAGUUCGGAUUGGGGUCUGCAACCCGACCCCAUGAAGCUGGAUUCGCUAGUA